This 26-nucleotide small RNA is filed under the name Bombyx mori (domestic silkworm). Its description in RNAcentral is "ovarian small RNA-24237". The record is from RNAcentral. Lineage: Eukaryota; Metazoa; Arthropoda; Insecta; Lepidoptera; Bombycidae.
UAUUGCUGCGGUCCUUGAUGAAGAGG